This 95-nucleotide ribosomal RNA is filed under the name Aristolochia clematitis (European birthwort). RNAcentral's name for it is "partial 5.8S ribosomal RNA". It matches the Rfam family "5.8S ribosomal RNA", at positions 1 to 93 of the family's 154-position model. Rfam says of the family: 5.8S ribosomal RNA (5.8S rRNA) is a component of the large subunit of the eukaryotic ribosome. It is transcribed by RNA polymerase I as part of the 45S precursor that also contains 18S and 28S rRNA. Functionally, it is thought that 5.8S rRNA may be involved in ribosome translocation. The record is from RNAcentral. Lineage: Eukaryota; Viridiplantae; Streptophyta; Magnoliopsida; Piperales; Aristolochiaceae.
ACGACUCUCGAAAACAGAUAUCUUGGCUCUCACAUCAAUGGAGAACAUAGCAAAAUAUGAUACUUGGUGUGAAUUGCAGAAUCCCGCGAACCAUC